RNAcentral lists this unclassified non-coding RNA (452 nucleotides) under Hevea brasiliensis (rubber tree). The record is from RNAcentral. Lineage: Eukaryota; Viridiplantae; Streptophyta; Magnoliopsida; Malpighiales; Euphorbiaceae.
GUGUCAAUAAUAGUAAGGUUUGGGCAAUAUUUGUAUUCUAUUCUGAUGAUUAUCUCUUUUGCAGAAAACUGACAUGUUUCCUUCUCCAAUCUCAUGUUUUCAGCCUCAAUAUAUGCCUGAAUAUCUUGGAGAGAUUUUUCAUGAGAAACAGAGGGGUCAGAAUCAGACAAGAGAUGGCAAAGGGGAGUGUCACACUCGGGGUUGUAUUUCAUGUGAAGAGUAAUGGGUCGUCGAGUCUUGGUUCCACCACCGACAUGAUUGAAUUGGAAACCCAUUAGAGCCUCCACUAGUGCACUUUUUCCAUCCGUCUGGUGACCCACUACAAGCACAGCUGGUGCAUCAAAUGGAGUAUCGAAUUCUUGAGCCAAACCGUGCAACUCAUUGUAAGCCUCAUAAAGCCUCCAUUGCCCCUCCAAUUCGUCAAUAUUUUUGGUAGCGGAAUCUGGUGAACU